RNAcentral lists this long non-coding RNA (1959 nucleotides) under Medicago truncatula (barrel medic). Its description in RNAcentral is "long non-coding RNA (MTRU_LNC002859)". Lineage: Eukaryota; Viridiplantae; Streptophyta; Magnoliopsida; Fabales; Fabaceae. The record is from RNAcentral.
UCGGGUUCCCGGAGGUAAGUGGAUCGGACGAACUAUCCCAUCAUAAACUAGUCAACUUAUGAACUAGUUUACUCCGAGGACCUAAAUAUUGCUACAAUCUGAACGACAACAUCUACAACUAAUCUGAUCGUUCAAAAUGACAUUCUUAUACCUAAAAGGAUAUAAAAAUCGGAAUUUUUCAGAUCGGAUUCCCGGAGGUAAAUGGAUCGGACGAACUAUCCCCUCAUAAACUAGUCAACUUAGGAAAUAGUUUACUCCGGGGACCUAAAGGUGGCUACAAUCUGAACGGCAACAUCUACAACUAAUCUGACCGUUCAAAAUGACAUUCUUAUACAUAAAAGGAUAUAGAAAUCAGAAUUUUUCAGAUCGGGUUCCCGGAGGUAAAUGGAUCGGACGAACUAUCCCCUCAUAAACUGGUCAACUUAGGAACUAGUUUACUCUAGGGACCUAAACGUGGCUAAAAUCUGAAUGGCAACAAGUACAAUCAAUCCAACCGUUCAAAAUGACAUUCUUAUACCUAAAAGGAUAUAGAAAUCAGAAUUUUUCAGAACGGGUUCCCGGAGGUAAAUGGAUCGGAGGAACUAUUCCCUCAUAAACUAGUCAACUUAGGAACUAGUUUACUCCGGGGACCUAAACGUAGCUAAAAUUUGAAUGGCAAAAAAUACAACCAAUUCAACCGUUCAAAAUGACAUUCUUAUACCUAAAAGGAUAUAGAAAUCGGAAUUUUUCAGAUCAAGUUCCCGGAGGUAAAUGGAUCGGACGAACUAUCCCCUCAUAAACUAGUCAACUUAGGAACUAGUUUACUCCAGGGACCUAAACGUUGCUAAAAUCUGAAUGGCAACAAGUACAAUCAAUCCAACCGUUCAAAAUGACAUUCUUAUACUUAAAAGGAUAUAGAAAUUGGAAUUUUUCAGAUCGGGUUCCUGGAGGUUAAUGGAUCGGACGAACUAUCCCUUCAUAAACUAGUCAACUUAGGAACUAGUUAACUCAGGGGACCUAAACGUGGCUAAAAUCUGAAUGGCAACAAGUACAACCAAUCCGACCGUUCAAAAUGACAUUCUUAGACCUAAAAGGAUAUAGAAAUCGGAAUUUCUCAUAUUGGAUUCUCAGAGGUAAGUGGAUCGGACGAACUAUCCCCUCAAGUUAUAAUAAAACAAACUAACCAUGAUUAUCUAUUUUAAUGACAUCAACAAUGUAACAAACAAAUAUAAUAUAAUUUUUUUAAUGACACCAACAACAAUUUUAAUUAUAAAAAAAGUUAUUUAAAGGUAUAAUAGCACUAGAAGAAAAUGGUCAUUUUGGGACACUCUGAAAGUGUAAAAACUACUAAUUUUUUUUGCACUAAUUUUACGAUGGGUUGCUUUAAGAAAUUAAUUAGUAUAUCAAGCACUUAAUGGAUCAAUUAAUUAAACCAUUAUAAUCAAUAUUAUAAAAUGAUUGUAAUUAUAUAUGUGAUGUUAAGAAUUUAAUCGUGCAAUUGUUUAAAUUAAAAUUAACUGUCUAUUGUUUUGUACAAUUAUUUAUUUUUUAUAAGAUAUAAUUGUACAUAUAACGAAUCACAGAAAGACAUCACUCCUACAACUAAAAUAGACUUAACCGUCUAAUGGUAUCAAAUAUAAUCAACCGGAUCGUUGAAUAUGACCUUAUUGGAAUAAGAACGAAGUAGUAACUGGAAUUUAUGAAUUCAAAAUAUUAUGUGUAAGUUGAUAUGACGAACUCUCCCGUUAGAAACCUAGUCAAUACGGAAAGACAUUACUCCGACGAUCAAAACGGAUCCAACCGACUAACAAUAUCAAAUAUAACCAAUCAGGCCAUUGGAAUAUAAUAUGACCUUAUCAGAAUAAGAACGAAGCACAAAAUGAAAUUUUGAAAAUCAAAAUCUUCAUUGUAUCAUUGUAAGUCGAUAUAACGAAGUAUCCCAUUAAAAACAUAGUCAACAUGAAAGGACAUUACUCCGAC